UCGAAACACUUUAGUCACGUGACUUGGGUGCUUCGGAUCAUGCUUCGGUGCAGUGAUUCGAAACACUUGCGCUUCGGGAUCUCGACACUGUGUCAAAACAUCAGUUUCACGUCAGCCAUCCCUAGUUAAGAGCAGGCCAACGACGUUUCUGCUAAAUCAUAGGUCACUGAUAUUGUCACCGAUCGAGAAAGAGCAGCUCUUGAGGGAUUGCCAAUUUUUCUUCGUAAAAAUUCUGCUUGCUUUCUCAAGAUAUGUCUGGUAAGUUACCCAUUUUCAUACCCUAUUCUACAUUUAUUAGUCUGCUUGGUAACACUUUUAAUAGCUGCACGCUAUAAAUAAUUUAUUUAGUAUUAGCGAAUAGUUAAUUUAUUUUCUGUUAAGCAUAACUCUACAUGAAGUGCUCAAUGAUUGUAUUUUUUUUAACUUUAAUGAUUCAUUUGUAUUACUAAUUUAAGUAUUGCAUUAUUUACAAACCAGUUAUUUAAGAAUAGUUGGUGUUUUUAAGAUCAUUCAGAAUGCUUAAGUACACGAUUAAUAAACUAUUCAAAUUAACAUUUAAAUAUCCUAAUAUUAAGGUAUGUAAUAAUAGUUACUUUGUAUGUUAGUAUAUGCUUUAUGAGCUUAACUUCAUCCAGUUGUGACCUAAUCUAAAGUGAGGACUAUUUAUGCUUUAUAAAUCCCUUAUGAAUGACAAUUAAAGGCUCAGUUAUAUUCUAAACAGGACAAUAAACAACUUUCACAAUUGAAACUGUAUCAAAUAAAAGUAAAUCUUUGCAAUUUUAUGUAAAAUAAAAGUUUAAAA
Molecule: long non-coding RNA, 802 nt
Filed under: Danio rerio (zebrafish)
Lineage: Eukaryota; Metazoa; Chordata; Actinopteri; Cypriniformes; Danionidae
Description: lncRNA (ENSDARG00000117693.1)
Source: RNAcentral